Molecule: ribosomal RNA, 433 nt
Filed under: uncultured bacterium
Lineage: Bacteria
Description: partial 16S ribosomal RNA
Rfam family: Bacterial small subunit ribosomal RNA
Source: RNAcentral
AACGAACGCUGGCGGCAUGCCUAACACAUGCAAGUCGAACGAGACCUUCGGGUCUAGUGGCGCACGGGUGCGUAACGCGUGGGAACCUGCCCUUAGGUUCGGAAUAACUCCCCGAAAGGGGUGCCAAUACCGGAUAAUGUCUUCGGACCAAAGAUUUAUCGCCUUUGGAUGGGCCCGCGUUGGAUUAGCUAGUUGGUAGGGUAAAAGCCUACCAAGGCGACGAUCCAUAGCUGGUCUGAGAGGAUGAUCAGCCACACUGGGACUGAGACACGGCCCAGACUCCUACGGGAGGCAGCAGUGGGGAAUAUUGGACAAUGGGCGAAAGCCUGAUCCAGCAAUGCCGCGUGAGUGAUGAAGGCCUUAGGGUUGUAAAGCUCUUUUACCCGGGAUGGUAAUGACAGUACCGGGAGAAUAAGCUCCGGCUAACUCCGUG